UUGGUCAAGGUGAGUGGCGAACGGGUGAGUAACACGUGGGUAACCUACCUCAUAGUGGGGGAUAACAGUCGGAAACGACUGCUAAUACCGCAUAGGACAUGGGAUCACAUGAUUCUGUGAGGAAAGGUGGCGCAAGCUAUCGCUAAGAGAUGGACCCGCGGUGCAUUAGCUAGUUGGUAGGGUAACGGCCUACCAAGGCGAUGAUGCAUAGCCGACCUGAGAGGGUGAUCGGCCACAUUGGGACUGAGACACGGCCCAAACUCC
This 264-nucleotide ribosomal RNA is filed under the name uncultured Abiotrophia sp. RNAcentral's name for it is "partial 16S ribosomal RNA". It matches the Rfam family "Bacterial small subunit ribosomal RNA", at positions 82 to 339 of the family's 1533-position model. The record is from RNAcentral. Lineage: Bacteria; Bacillati; Bacillota; Bacilli; Lactobacillales; Aerococcaceae.